Non-coding RNA from Cordylochernes scorpioides, 82 nucleotides. The record is from the annotation of a GenBank genome assembly. NCBI's taxonomy places the organism in Eukaryota, Metazoa, Arthropoda, Arachnida, Pseudoscorpiones, Chernetidae.
UCCAGGGUGGCUACCCUGUGGUAGUGGACAUGGCAUCUGCCCGGUAAGCGGAACACUGUGGGUUCGAUUCCAACCCCUGGAC